UGCGUAGGCGGUUUUUCAAGCUUGAUGUGAAAGCCCCGGGCUUAACCUGGGAAUGGCAUUGAGGACUGAGAGGCUAGAGUGCGGCAGAGGGAGGUGGAAUUCCACGUGUAGCAGUGAAAUGCGUAGAGAUGUGGAGGAACACCGAUGGCGAAGGCAGCCUCCUGGGCCGACACUGACGCUGAGGGCACGAAAGGCGUGGGAGCAAACA
This 208-nucleotide ribosomal RNA is filed under the name uncultured bacterium. RNAcentral's name for it is "partial 16S ribosomal RNA". It matches the Rfam family "Bacterial small subunit ribosomal RNA", at positions 568 to 774 of the family's 1533-position model. The record is from RNAcentral.